UUGCCUGGGCGCGAUCCGCCCGUGCUUCCCAUAGCGUACUCCGUCCCUGGCGCCCCCAGUGAGGUCCGUCCGUGGCGCUCCGCCUCCCGUCGUCUUCCGUCACCACGCUCUGGUCGUAUCCCCGCCGUAGCGUCGUCCAGUGCUGCCCUGCAGACCGCACAUCUGUCCACCUGCUGUGUGGUUUGGCGCGGGAGCAAAGGUAGCCAACCACACGACGGGACUCUUCCAGAUGGAGACGAAACACCACAUGGCGGGGGAAGGAAAAGAGCGAUCAGAUCUCAGACGCCGUCGUCCGUCUCCGCCAAGCUGCAUCGCCUCAAACGCUUUGUCCCGGCCAUCACGCCGGCCAUGGCCGCCAUGUCGAAGAAGGCGACUCUCCAUCCCUUCCGAGUUCCGAGUUCAUGCUCCCCUCCGCCCCUGGCAUCAUGCCACGUCCCGCGGACCGUACUAUCGCCUCCACAGCCGUGGUCGCUCGGCCACACGUACCGGUCGCUUCGCCUGCCGUCGCUGUUGCGACAGCCGUGA
This 525-nucleotide unclassified non-coding RNA is filed under the name Zea mays. RNAcentral's name for it is "misc RNA Zm00001eb152960". Lineage: Eukaryota; Viridiplantae; Streptophyta; Magnoliopsida; Poales; Poaceae. The record is from RNAcentral.